This is a long non-coding RNA of Cyprinus carpio (common carp), 893 nucleotides long. RefSeq lists it as uncharacterized. The transcript is spliced from 3 exons. NCBI's taxonomy places the organism in Eukaryota, Metazoa, Chordata, Actinopteri, Cypriniformes, Cyprinidae. The record is from RefSeq and is a predicted model, not a curated record.
GUCUCCGAGAAAUAUUAAAGGAGUUCUAUUCUGUCGCCUGUUAAAGCGUGUGUUUUCCUGCAGCGCUUGCAUAUUUCCCGCUUUGAUUGUUCUGUGUUGUGCCUAGGCAUCGCCAGCGGCCUGAAUAUUUGUGGCAGGAGCUCGUCGCUGCGAUUGGAGGGAACAAGCUAAUCUCCGCGCACAACCGGGAAGUGUAAUCCGUUCAAAGUGGCACCUCGCACAGGAGAAGAACAAAAAUUGCCAUUCAUCUUCCAUCAAGGCGCACAGCUAAAGCUGCGUUUCAUCUCAUCAACUGACUCCGAGAAGGUGCCGAAUGCGUCAGCGAAUGUGACAUCUGAUUUGUAGGCUGUCUAAUCACGGGAGAGGGUGAAUGUUUCCUUUCCAGUGAGAGCAGAGGAGAGCCUGCCCUAAAUGAAAGAGAGGUGAAGCCGCUCAGAGAUCACAGGUACAGCGAGCCACUAAUAACGCACCGGGCCUUUUGCGCGUCACGUCUCGGAACGGUGGCGUAAUUAAGUUUCGAAUGCACUAAGGCGUUCCAAUUAUCUAAAUUAGAUUUAAUUAAGCACAAGAGAUAAUUCUCUGUCCUGAUUAGGUUACCAAAAUAUUGAAGCUUCACGUGUAUGAAUCAUGUUCCUAACACACCCGCCCAGCUGCCAGUGAUGAUACAGGUAGAAUAAACAGCUGCAGGAGUCAGAAAGAGGCAAUUAGCUACACUUUUGCUGUGUGUGAAUUAUAGGAAACAACCUCUGAGCUGUAAUAAAAAGGUCCUGCUGAUGCACAUAUGACACUGAAGUCAGCAUUACUCUCCAGUAACUCUCUAAUAGCAGGCAAACAACCGACAUAAAGUGCUGAAGAAACACUUCUUAAAGAAAAGCCAAGGAUCAUUGAAGGCA